UUGUGGUUAAAAAGCUCGUAGUUGGAUCUCGGCGGACUGAGGGCGGUUUGCUUGCUAGUAUUACUGCCCUAUAGUCCGUAGUUUUGCCAGAGGUUUCGGGGUGCUCUUAAUCGAGUGUCCCGGGAUGCUGGCAGGUUUACUUUGAAAAAAUUAGAGUGCUCAAAGCAGGCUAUUACGCCUGAAUAUUCGUGCAUGGAAUAAUAGAAUAGGAAGUCGUUUCUAUUUUGUUGGUUUUCGGAAAUCGACUUAAUGAUUAAUAGGGACAGUCGGGGGCAUUUGUAUUCAAACGACAGAGGUGAAAUUCUUGGACCGUUUGAAGACAAACUACUGCGAAAGCAUUUGCCAAGAAUGUUUUCAUUAAUCAAGAACGAAAGUUAAAGGUUCGAAGGCGAUUAGAUACCGCCCUAGUUUUAACCAUAAACGAUGCCAGCUAGCGAUCUGCGGACGUUUUCUUUGUAGACUCCGCAGGAAGCUUCCGGGAAACCAAAGCAUUUGGGUUCCAGGGGAAGUAUGGUUGCAAAGCUGAAACUUAAAGGAAUUGACGGAAGGGCACCACCAGGAGUGGAGCCUGUGGCUUAAUUUGACUCAACACGGGAAAUCUCACCAGGCCCGGACACUGGAAGGAUUGACAGAUUGAU
Molecule: ribosomal RNA, 638 nt
Filed under: uncultured marine eukaryote
Lineage: Eukaryota
Description: SSU rRNA
Rfam family: Eukaryotic small subunit ribosomal RNA
Source: RNAcentral